UACAGAGGCCUCAAGCGUUAGGCGGAAUCACUGGGCUUAAAGCGUGUGUAGGCGGGUCGUUAAGUACCUUGUGAAAUCCCACGGCUUAACCGUGGAACCGCUUGGUAUACUGGCGAUCUUGAGCCACUUAGGGGCUACCGGAACAGAUGGUGGAGCGGUGAAAUGCGUAGAUAUCAUCUGGAACGCCAAUGGUGAAAACAGGUAGCUGGGAGUGUGCUGACGCUGAGACACGAAAGCCAGGGGAGCGAACGGGAUUAGAAACCCCAGUAGUCC
This 273-nucleotide ribosomal RNA is filed under the name uncultured bacterium. RNAcentral's name for it is "partial 16S ribosomal RNA". It matches the Rfam family "Bacterial small subunit ribosomal RNA", at positions 524 to 796 of the family's 1533-position model. The record is from RNAcentral.